GACAGAUAUAGCUAUAAAUAUGAUCAUAACUUGUACAGAGACCUCAUUGGCAAAUUACUAUAUAUACAAAAAUGAUUGACAACAUGCAUGCUACUUUACAGUUAAAAUUCACGAUAACACAAUUCUGCAAAGACUAUGAGCCUAAAAUAACAAGACUUCUGGAAGUACUGAGCAGAUGGAUGGCCACCAUAAUCUAUCACCUUGUAAAC
Molecule: long non-coding RNA, 209 nt
Filed under: Fukomys damarensis (Damara mole-rat)
Lineage: Eukaryota; Metazoa; Chordata; Mammalia; Rodentia; Bathyergidae
Description: lncRNA (ENSFDAG00000024151.1)
Source: RNAcentral